ACCUGGCUGGUUCAGUUGGUAAAGCGAGUGACUCUUGAUCUCAGAGUUGUGAGUUCAAGCCCCAUGCUGGGUG
RNAcentral lists this transfer RNA (73 nucleotides) under Felis catus (domestic cat). It matches the Rfam family "tRNA". From Rfam's summary of the family: Transfer RNA (tRNA) molecules are approximately 80 nucleotides in length. The record is from Rfam by way of RNAcentral. Lineage: Eukaryota; Metazoa; Chordata; Mammalia; Carnivora; Felidae.